GACGAGCGCUGGCGGCGUGCUUAACACAUGCAAGUCGAACGGAAAGGCCCUGCUUGCAGGGUACUCGAGUGGCGAACGGGUGAGUAACACGUGGGUGAUCUGCCCUGCACUUCGGGAUAAGCUUGGGAAACUGGGUCUAAUACCGGAUAGGAGCCAUCUUUAGUGUGGUGGUUGGAAAGUUUUUUCGGUGUAGGAUGAGCUCGCGGCCUAUCAGCUUGUUGGUGGGGUAAUGGCCUACCAAGGCGGCGACGGGUAGCCGGCCUGAGAGGGUGUACGGCCACAUUGGGACUGAGAUACGGCCCAGACUCCUACGGGAGGCAGCAGUGGGGAAUAUUGCACAAUGGGCGCAAGCCUGAUGCAGCGACGCCGCGUGGGGGAUGAAGGCCUUCGGGUUGGAAACUCCUUUCGCUAGGGACGAAGCUUUUUGUGACGGUACCUAGAGAAGAAGCACCGGCUAACUACGUG
This 465-nucleotide ribosomal RNA is filed under the name uncultured bacterium. RNAcentral's name for it is "partial 16S ribosomal RNA". It matches the Rfam family "Bacterial small subunit ribosomal RNA", at positions 28 to 507 of the family's 1533-position model. The record is from RNAcentral.